GGUAGAAGGGAUUUUUAUUUUUUUUCUAUUUGUAACAAGUGCAUUUACAAGACCCCUUAGGCAUCCAAACUCAAGAAAUACAAUAGACGCCGGGGAAAUUGCUGUUGACAUAUGAAAAUAAAUCAUCCCCCAUGAUUGACGGGAAAGUACCCCCUUUUUUUUUUGGAAGAUGCGUACGGACAAUAGGCGGCCGACUAGGCUCUUAAUACAUCAAAAGCGCUAGUGUCACCGUCGACAUUAUCUCUACAUUUAAUAUUGGAUUUGGGAAGUUCACAACAAACAAUCACUAUCCGUUUUCCCCGUCUAAUCUCACCGACACGCUUAAUUUUACGGCCGGAGCAGGGAGCUAUCCAUACACCAAACACACUUCCAGAGCUGAAAAAAUUUUCUCAUUAAAUGCUUCUGUGCCAUUUCAGAAACACACCAACAUCAAAUUUCAUGCGCAUGAUCUUAUUUUAAAUGCAUUAACAACUUUAAAUUAACUUCCAUUCGUGAUCACUGGACCAAAUGAUUAUGAAUAGAAUCACAGCAUUAAUCUCUACGCUGUCGCUAGAUUCUUUAUUCGAUGCCAAGAAAAAGAACCAAGGCCAAUAAGAGCAGUUUUUCGCUCCAACUGUAUCAUGGCUUUCCGUCAGCUGUUUGCAUUGCUUCAUCAUACACAGGAUUAACUGCUAAUUUAGGCUGCCCAGAACAAUCUUUGGAUUCUUGAAUGGAAUGUUGGGUUAAUAAUUUUGCUGCACCAAGGGACGAAUGGAACUGUUCAUGCCCUUCUGGCUUCAAAAACAUUAGCUCAUCAUAGUUCCCUUCAUAAUGCAAGCACUGCGUUUUUCUCCUCUGAACCUCAUCCUUCACUCUCUGCAGCAGCCUCGAAUCAAACUUUGGCAAUCCAAUUUGUUCAACAGUAAGCGAACCGAAGAAGUUACCCAGCAAGGCAGCAUCAGGUACAGCCAAUCCCUGCAUCAAUCCCGUCACAAACCCACCUAAGAAGCUAUCCCCUGCACCCGUGGGAUCCUCUUGAUUAGCCAAAAAGGGUGAAAUCUCCAUCUCCCCAUCUUUCCAACACACCUUACAUCCAUCUUCCCCUUUCGUCACCACCACACAACACCACUUCCUUACCUCCUCCACAUCCAUGAACACAGCCUCCUCUGAUGACACCUUUAAAACCCCAAUUCGAGGCAACAAGGAACGAAACCCCGUUUCGCGUAAAUCAACGAGCUUAACUGUCCCAUCAACGGCAUCAAAAUCCCUUAUUAAAGCUUGAAUAUCCACGAGAACCACAUCACAAAUCUCAAUCAUUCUCUCAAGCGUCUCGGGCAAUAUCUCCCCGCCAACCCCAACCGCCAUCCCAAAAUCGAACCUCGCGUCAGGAAGAUCCGUCGGACUAAUUGGAUCACAUAAGCAUACCCGUUUUAAGACCCGAUCUUGGUUUCCAUUUUCGUGUACACCCGAAUCAAAAUAGGCGUGAAACACGGUCGUCUUGGAAGCAGGCACUAAAAUUGGGAUAUGAUUAACAUGGUAUCCAAAAUCGUGCCCAACUUUGGCAACUAAACUACAAGGAAUUGACAUCCCAUCAAGGACGCUGGCUAUGAAGGAGGAGGCGCCGCCAAGAGAUUCGCCAACGACGGUGUCAUUUUGGAUUAAAACAUCGUGGCAGUAGUUGCCGACGAUUAAAACACGGGGUGUGGGAAAUUGGUGGGUUUUGUGAGAAGCGGUUACCAUUGUGGGUUGCGGUGGGUUUGGGGGGUCAUAAGUGAAGAAGAAGAUAAGAGAAUGAGUCAGUUUGGCGGUGAGAGAGACAUAGAAGCCAAAGACGAACACGGAUUUUAAGGAAAUGGAGGAUGUGCCUGUCUAGUAUCUGAUUAGAGAAAUGCACAAAAAUUGGAGUAAGCGUAGGUAACAAGAGAGACAGAUGAUCGCGCUGGGGAGAGAUUUUUGUGGGCUUGCAUUUAUAGAAAGAAAGAGGGAUCGUUGGUC
This 1974-nucleotide unclassified non-coding RNA is filed under the name Hevea brasiliensis (rubber tree). Lineage: Eukaryota; Viridiplantae; Streptophyta; Magnoliopsida; Malpighiales; Euphorbiaceae. The record is from RNAcentral.